AACUUGCCGGCGACCGGCGCACGGGUGAGUAACGCGUAUCCAACCUUCCCCUUAGUAGGGCAUAGCCCGUAGAAAUGCGGAUUAAUACCCUAUGUUAUUCGUCGAGGACAUCUGAAGUGAAUCAAAGGUUUACCGCUAAGGGAUGGGGAGUGCGUCUGAUUAGGCAGCAGGCGGGGUAACGGCCCACCUGGCCGACGAUCAGUAGGGGUUCUGAGAGGAAGGUCCCCCACAUUGGAACUGAGACACGGUCCAAACUCCUACGGGAGGCAGCAGUGAGGAAUAUUGGUCAAUGGUCGAGAGACUGAACCAGCCAAGUAGCCGUGCAGGAUGACGGCCCUAUGGGUUGUAAACUGUCUUUUAUGCGGGGAUAAAGUGAGGGACGUGUCCCUUUUUGUAGGUACCGCAUGAAUAAGGACCGGCUAAUUCCGUGCCAGCCGCCGC
Molecule: ribosomal RNA, 441 nt
Filed under: uncultured bacterium
Lineage: Bacteria
Description: bacterial SSU rRNA
Rfam family: Bacterial small subunit ribosomal RNA
Source: RNAcentral